GUCUAUAGCCAUACCACCCUGAAUGCACCUGAUCUCAUCUGAUCUCAGAAGCUAAGUAGGGUCAGGCCUGGUUAGUUCUUGGAUGGGACAAACACUCUGGGUACAUAAGAAACCUGACAGGGAUAAUCU
This 129-nucleotide ribosomal RNA is filed under the name Prolemur simus (greater bamboo lemur). The record is from RNAcentral. Lineage: Eukaryota; Metazoa; Chordata; Mammalia; Primates; Lemuridae.